GCCGAGGUGGCGGAACUGGCAGACGCGCCGGUCUCAAAAACCGGUGACCGAAAGGUCAUGAGGGUUCAACUCCCUCCCUCGGCACCA
RNAcentral lists this transfer RNA (87 nucleotides) under Candidatus Omnitrophota bacterium. RNAcentral describes it as "Candidatus Omnitrophica bacterium tRNA-Leu". It matches the Rfam family "tRNA". From Rfam's summary of the family: Transfer RNA (tRNA) molecules are approximately 80 nucleotides in length. Their secondary structure includes four short double-helical elements and three loops (D, anti-codon, and T loops). The record is from RNAcentral. Lineage: Bacteria; Pseudomonadati; Candidatus Omnitrophota.